Molecule: ribosomal RNA, 423 nt
Filed under: uncultured bacterium
Lineage: Bacteria
Description: bacterial SSU rRNA
Rfam family: Bacterial small subunit ribosomal RNA
Source: RNAcentral
AAGACCUUGCGUUUUUGGAGCGGCCGAUGUCUGAUUAGCUAGUUGGUGGGGUAAUGGCCUACCAAGGCUUCGAUCAGUAGCUGGUCUGAGAGGACGGCCAGCCACACUGGGACUGAGACACGGCCCAGACUCCUACGGGAGGCAGCAGUGGGGAAUUUUGGACAAUGGGCGCAAGCCUGAUCCAGUCAUGCCGCGUGAGUGAAGAAGGCCUUCGGGUUGUAAAGCUCUUUCAGCCGAGAAGAAAAGAUUGCGACUAAUAAUCGCGAUUCAUGACGGUACCGGCAGAAGAAGCACCGGCUAACUACGUGCCAGCAGCCGCGGUAAUACGUAGGGUGCGAGCGUUAAUCGGAAUUACUGGGCGUAAAGGGUGCGCAGGCGGUUUUGUAAGUCAGAUGUGAAAUCCCCGGGCUUAACCUGGGAACU